GACGAACGCUGGCGGCGUGCUUAACACAUGCAAGUCGAACGGAAAGGCCCUGCUUUUGUGGGGUGCUCGAGUGGCGAACGGGUGAGUAACACGUGAGUAACCUGCCCUUGACUUUGGGGUAACUUCAGGAAACUGGGGCUACUACCGGAUAGGAGCUCCUGCUGCAUGGUGGGGGUUGGAAAGUUUCGGCGGUUGGGGAUGGACUCGCGGCUUAUCAGCUUGUUGGUGGGGUAGUGGCUUACCAAGGCAUUGAAGGGUAGCCGGCAUGAGAGGGUGACCGGCCACAUUGGGACUGCGAGACGGCCCAGACUGCUACGGGAGGCAGCAGUGGGGAAUCUUGCACAAUGGGAGGGAGCCUGAUGCAGCAACGCCGCGUGCGGGAUGACGGCCUUCGGGUUGUAAACCGCUGUCGCCUGUGACGAAGCGUGAGUGACGGUAAUGGGUAAAGAAGCACCGGCUAACUACGUG
RNAcentral lists this ribosomal RNA (468 nucleotides) under uncultured bacterium. RNAcentral describes it as "partial 16S ribosomal RNA". It matches the Rfam family "Bacterial small subunit ribosomal RNA", at positions 28 to 507 of the family's 1533-position model. The record is from RNAcentral.